AGAGGCUUGGGGCUGGCAUGGAUUUGCUCACAGCCAGCAGCAUAGUUACUGGAGUGAGAAUAUUGCUGAUUGGCUGAUUUUCAGAACAAAAAUCGUGGUGCCUUCUUGCUGUGUUCGCAUGUGCAGGGACCACUCUCUCUCUCAUGAUUCUUUGUCUAAGGCCACCAAUCCCAUCAUGAAGGCUCCACCCUCGUGACCUAAUUGCUUCCCAGACGCCCUGCUUCCAAAUACCACCUCACUGGGGAUUGGCGCGUCAAUGGACUUGGGGGACGCUCAGUCCACAGCAGCUUUCAUACCUUGUUUCACAAACGUGUAUCAGACAAGAAGUUCCAGACUGUCUUUCAUCCUCGUCUCCCCACCCUCCCUUUUUGCAAACCACACUCAUCCUUCAAAUCCCAAUUCAAAUGCCACCUAGUGACCUCGUCCCUGAAGCUGAAUUUUCGCAGCGUGCUAUCUGCUCUGCUCAUACCAUUGGAUGCCUGCUUGCAUUGUUUUUUUUUUCUAUAAAUGCUUUGUGUUUCCAUCUAGGCAGUGAACUUAGUCUUCCUACACAUUUGUAUCGCUCCAGAGUUCCCCGUAUUUGCUGAAAGAACAAAUCGGCUGGGAAAAUCUGAGUCCUAGCUCAAAGGCUGUUUCAUUUUGGUAAACUGCAAACUGAAGCAUCCUUGGGCUCUGUGGAUGAAUUGAAAGUGGUUGCUAAAAUGUAAAUUCCAGGAAGACAGGUGAUCUUUGGUUUAUGCUUCACUGAUGCCUAGAAUAUGCCUGGUGUACAGGAGGCCCUCGCUUUAUUUUAGGUCAAUGAACAAAAGAUGGAAUGAAUAAGUAAAUUAUGGUUGGAGAAAAGAUUGGAGCCUGGCAGUGACUUCUCUUAUGUUUAUCUCACAUGAGGUAAGGCAUUAAAUGAUUACCAGGGUCUCGCCGCUUUUAAGACUGGCUGGACAAUUGCCUGGUUAUAUCUAUGGAAACCUGUGUAUUUCACAUUUUCCCAAACAGUUAGGAGUGGAGGGGCUGCUCUUGCUGUCUGAGACAGACCACAUUCUGCCUAUGGAAUGUGUAUCUCUCUAAAUAAACUAGCUUUCACUGAAAAAUUAAAAAAGAAGAAUUCCCAGAGUUCCCGUCGUGGCUCAGUGGUUAACGAAUCCGACUAGGAACUAUGAGGAUGUGGGUUUGAUCCCUGGCCUCACUCUGUGGGUUAAGGAUCCAGCAUUGCCAUGAGCUGCGGUGUAGGUCACAGAUGCAGCUCAGAUCUGGGGUUGCUGUGGCUGUGGUGUGGGCUGGCAGCUGUAGCUCUGAUUCAACCCCAAGCCUGGGAACUUCCCUAUGCUGCAGGUUUGGCCCUAAAAAGAAAAAAAAAAAAAA
RNAcentral lists this long non-coding RNA (1359 nucleotides) under Sus scrofa (pig). RNAcentral describes it as "lncRNA (ENSSSCG00015050660.1)". Lineage: Eukaryota; Metazoa; Chordata; Mammalia; Artiodactyla; Suidae. The record is from RNAcentral.